AUACGUAGGUGGCAAGCGUUGUCCGGAAUUACUGGGUGUAAAGGGAGCGUAGGCGGGAAUGCAAGUUGAAUGUUAAAUCUAUCGGCUCAACCGAUAACCGCGUUCAAAACUGCAUUUCUUGAGUGAAGUAGAGGUUGGCGGAAUUCCUAGUGUAGCGGUGAAAUGCGUAGAUAUUAGGAGGAACACCAGUGGCGAAGGCGGCCAACUGGGCUUUUACUGACGCUGAGGCUCGAAAGCGUGGGGAGC
RNAcentral lists this ribosomal RNA (246 nucleotides) under uncultured bacterium. RNAcentral describes it as "partial 16S ribosomal RNA". It matches the Rfam family "Bacterial small subunit ribosomal RNA", at positions 523 to 769 of the family's 1533-position model. The record is from RNAcentral.